CCAAAAGUAGGUUUAAGAAGCUUGGCCUGAACUUUGGCAGCAAGGAUAGAAACCUGAGAAAACAGUCAUUUAAAGAUACGAAUUCAGAGAUUUCACCUCGUCAACCAUUCUCUAAUUUCUUUGAUGGCAAAUCAUCUUUGUUUUCUAAGAAGCCUCCUAAGCCUGAGAGUGCAUCCGCGAGUGACACAAGUCCUAGUAGUCCAGAUGAAAAUGAGUGGACAAUUGUUAACCCGUAAUACAUUUUGACCUCCCU
RNAcentral lists this unclassified non-coding RNA (253 nucleotides) under Hevea brasiliensis (rubber tree). Lineage: Eukaryota; Viridiplantae; Streptophyta; Magnoliopsida; Malpighiales; Euphorbiaceae. The record is from RNAcentral.